UCCCAGGUGGCUAAGUGGUAAAGAAUCUGCCUCCAAUGCAGGAGAUUCGGGUUUGAACCCUGGGUCGGGAA
This 71-nucleotide transfer RNA is filed under the name Bos taurus (domestic cattle). It matches the Rfam family "tRNA". Rfam says of the family: Transfer RNA (tRNA) molecules are approximately 80 nucleotides in length. Their secondary structure includes four short double-helical elements and three loops (D, anti-codon, and T loops). The record is from Rfam by way of RNAcentral. Lineage: Eukaryota; Metazoa; Chordata; Mammalia; Artiodactyla; Bovidae. RNAcentral also lists the same sequence under 4 other names.